This 1271-nucleotide long non-coding RNA is filed under the name Gossypium barbadense (sea-island cotton). RNAcentral describes it as "long non-coding RNA (GBAR_LNC002620)". Lineage: Eukaryota; Viridiplantae; Streptophyta; Magnoliopsida; Malvales; Malvaceae. The record is from RNAcentral.
ACCAAUGUUUCUAAGAAUUUCACUAACAAGAAGAUUAAUAUUCAGCUUGAUGAAAUCAAUUAUCCUCUAUGGAAACAACAGGUAUCUUUUGCUUUGGAGAGUUAUGGUUUGGAGCCUUACACUGAUGGUACUCAGGCUAUACCUCCAGAGUUUGUUUUUAAUGAGUUUGGUUAUCUAGUUAAAAAUCCUGAAAGAGUUUCAUUUAAUAAACAAGAUAAAUCCAUAGCAUCUUGGUUACUUUCUGUUGUUAGUCUUGAUUUCCUACCAGAUUUGGUCAUGUGUCAAUCGACUACUGAAAUUUGGGAAGUCAUUGGUCAGUUGUAUUCUGCUAAAACAACUACCAAGGUUAUGAAUAUUAGGUAUUCUUUGUACUCUCAAAAGAAAGGGGAUCAAAACAUUCGUGAUUAUUUGAGACAGCUUAAAUUGAUUAAGAAUAAUCUUGGUAUAUGUGGAGAAAAGAUAUUUGAUGCAGAGCAUAUUGCAACUAUUCUUAAUGGUUUACCUAGUGAGUUUGAUUCGGUGGUUACCUUAAUCACCACUAGCAGAAAAGUCUAUGAUGUACCUGUUUUGUCUUCAAUGCUGAUUAAUCUUGAAGCUAGGCAAAAGUCAGGUGCUAUGAUUGGGCUUUUUAAUGUUAAUCUUGCCACAAGUCAGUCUAGUUCUCAUAGUGCACAAGCUUAUAAGCAGUCCACAGAAGGUGUGUCUGGUUUACUUGGAUACCAAGGCAGAGGAGGUUCAUUUCGUCGAGGUAAAGGUAGAGGUCGUUUUGGAAAUGCUUCAAACAGACCUCAAUGCCAUUUGUGUGGAAAAAUUGGGCUUAUUGUACAAAAGUGAUAUUAUCGCUUUGAUACUUCUUUUAUUGGUUUUCCUAAGCUUGAUGCAGGUCAUAGAGGUGCAAGUGCUAAUCAUUGUUCAAUGGGUGAUGAUGAUGGUGACAAUAAAUAGAAUGUAGUAGGUGCUUUCAUUUCUGCUGAUCGUUCUUCUACUUUUGUAAAUGUUGCUAUUGCUGGAGAACAUGCCUGGUUUCCUGAUUCAAUGGCCACUUCCCACCUCAGUCGUGAUGCCUCCAAGGUGUCAAAUAGUGCUCCAUAUAUUGGUAUAGAUAAGUUGACUGUUGCUAAUGGCCAAUCUUUGUCCAUAUCUAGCAGUGGCUAGAGUAUAUUGCUUACAAAUAAUAGACCUCUUCAUAUGAAAAAAUUGUAUUUGUGUAAUAGGCCGUUUUCAAUAAUGUUGGAAACAAUGGUUUCGAGACCACAAUUUCAAUGAGCAAG